RNAcentral lists this ribosomal RNA (253 nucleotides) under uncultured bacterium. RNAcentral describes it as "partial 16S ribosomal RNA". It matches the Rfam family "Bacterial small subunit ribosomal RNA", at positions 524 to 776 of the family's 1533-position model. The record is from RNAcentral.
UACGUAGGGGGCUAGCGUUGCUCGGAAUCACUGGGCGUAAAGCGCACGUAGGCGGACUCUUAAGUCGGUGGUGAAAUCCUGGAGCUCAACUCCAGAACUGCCUUCGAUACUGGGAGUCUCGAGUCCGAGAGAGGUGAGUGGAACUGCGAGUGUAGAGGUGAAAUUCGUAGAUAUUCGCAAGAACACCAGUGGCGAAGGCGGCUCACUGGCCCGGUACUGACGCUGAGGUGCGAAAGCGUGGGGAGCAAACAGG